This is a ribosomal RNA of Collinsella tanakaei YIT 12063, 2975 nucleotides long. It matches the Rfam family "Bacterial large subunit ribosomal RNA". The record is from Rfam. Lineage: Bacteria; Bacillati; Actinomycetota; Coriobacteriia; Coriobacteriales; Coriobacteriaceae.
CGGGAAGAUAUGUAGGGCGCACGGCGGAUGCCUUGGCACAGGAAGCCGAUGAAGGACGCGGCAAGCUGCGAUAAUCCGCGGUUAGGGGCACACACCCUUCGACCCGCGGGUCUCCGAAUGGGCGAACCCGCCAGGAGAUGUCCUGGCAUCCCCCUUGGGAACUCAUACCUUGGGGGAGGACAACCCGGGGAACUGAAACAUCUAAGUACCCGGAGGAGAAGAAAUCAACUGCGAGAUUCCCCGAGUAGCGGCGAGCGAAAGGGGACCGAUGGCCAAACCGGCGAGCGGGCGGGCGCCAGCCUAUACCGCCGCCGGGGUUGCAGGGCCUCCCGCCCGGGAGCUGGCGCUCCCGGCGGGGAUCCAUCCAGGGGAGCCGAACGGCAUGGGAGGGCCGGCGGCACAGGGUUACAGCCCCGUAGGCGCACCCUGGGAUGGACCCCGGCGGAGGUCCCUGAGUAGGGCCGGGCACGUGAAACCCGGUCCGAAGCAGGGGGGACCACCCUCCAAGCCUGAAUACUCUCCUGUGACCGAUAGCGCACAAGUACCGUGAGGGAAAGGUGAAAAGCACCCCGGGAGGGGAGUGAAACAGUACCUGAAACCGUGCGCCCGCAAGGCGUCGGAGCACCCUUUUAGAGGUGUGACGGCGUGCCUUUUGUAGAAUGAGCCAGCGAGUUGCUGGCCGUCGGCGAGGUUAAGCUGGAAAGCGAGCCGGAGCGAAAGCGAGUCCGAAACGGGCGACCAUAGUCGGCGGCCGCAGACGCGAAGCCGGGUGAGCUACCCGUGGGCAGGCUGAAGCGGGGGUAAGACCCCGUGGAGGGCCGAACGCACGUCGGUUGAAAACGGCGGCGAUGACCUGCGGGUAGGGGUGAAAGGCCUAUCAAACCCGGAGAUAUCUCGUUCUCCCCGAAAUAGCUUUAGGGCUAGCGUCGCGCGUUAACCCCGGGAGGUAGAGCACCGGAUCGAUGAGGGGGCUUCGCCGCCUACCGAUUCGAACCGAACUCCGAAUGCCCGAGGGUCUAGAGCGCGGCAGUCAGAACAUGUGGGCUAAGCUGUGUGUUCGAGAGGGAAACAGCCCAGACCGCCCGCUAAGGUCCCAAAUUCAGAGCCGAGUGGCAAAGGAUGUGCGUCCGCGCAGACAACCAGGAGGUUGGCUUAGAAGCAGCCACCCCUUCAAAGAGUGCGUAACAGCUCACUGGUCGAGUGGACAUGCGCCGACAAUACACGGGGCUAAGCUCUGAACCGAAGCGGCGGGAUGAUUCAAAUCAUCGGUAGGGGAGCGUCCCAGCGGGGGCGAAGCGGGAGGGGAACCGACCGUGGACCUUCUGGGAGCGAGAAUGCUGGCAUGAGUAGCGAGAGACGAGAGGGUAACUCGUCCGCCGUAAACCCGAGGUUUCCUGGGCAAGGCUAAUCCUCCCAGGGUCAGUCGGGGGCUAAGGCGAGGCCGGAAGGCGUAGUCGAAGCGCAGCAGGCAGACAUUCCUGCACCGCGAUGGAACCGUCACGACCGACGGGGCGACGGAUUGGGGUGGCUCGGCGGGGUUCUGGACGUCCCCGUGAUGGAGCGCGGCCCGGAGACCAGGCAAAUCCGGUCUCCAGGAGGGCGAGGCUCCGGACGAAGCGAUCGAGCGAAGCGAGUGAGCCCGAGGUCCCUAGAAAAACCCCUAGGCAGGCGCCAUCGCGCCCGUACCGCAAACCGACACAGGUGGGUGGGUAGAACAUACCGAGGCGAUCGGGUCAACCAUGGUUAAGGAACUCGGCACAAUGGCCCCGUAACUUCGGGAGAAGGGGUGCCCCCGCGUACGUGAACCGGCUCGCCCGGGGAGCGGAGGGGGGCCGCAGUGAAGAGGCCCAAGCGACUGUUUACCAAAAACACAGGACUCUGCAUAAGCCGCGAGGCGACGUAUAGGGUCUGACGCCUGCCCGGUGCCGGAAGGUCACGCGGAGGUGUUAGCGCGAGCGAAGCACCGAAGCCAAGCCCCGGUAAACGGCGGCCGUAACUAUAACGGUCCUAAGGUAGCGAAAUUCCUUGUCGGGUAAGUUCCGACCUGCACGAAAGGCGCAACGACUUGGGCGCUGUCUCAACCAUGGACCCGGUGAAAUUCCACUAGUCGUGAAGAUGCGACUUACCCGCGGAAGGACGGAAAGACCCCGUGAACCUUCACUGCAGCUUGGCAUUGGCCGCUGGUCCGGCGCGUAGAGGAUAGGCGGGAGGCAUCGAUGCGGGGGCGCCAGCCCCCGCGGAGCCGCCCUUGGAAUACCGCCCUCGCCGCACCGGCGUCCUAACCCCGUCCCGUGGAGCCGGGCGGGGGACCGUGCCAGGUGGGCAGUUUGACUGGGGCGGUCGCCUCCUAAAAGGUAACGGAGGCGCGCGAAGGUCCGCUCGGGACGGUCGGCAACCGUCCUUUUGAGUGCAAGAGCGUAAGCGGGCUUGACUGCGAGGCCCACGAGCCGAGCAGGUGCGAAAGCAGGCUCUAGUGAUCCGGCGGCCCCACGUGGGAGGGCCGUCGCUCAACGGAUAAAAGGUACUCCGGGGAUAACAGGCUGAUCUUGCCCAAGAGUCCACAUCGACGGCAAGGUUUGGCACCUCGAUGUCGGCUCAUCGCAUCCUGGGGCUGGAGCAGGUCCCAAGGGUACGGCUGUUCGCCGUUUAAAGCGGUACGCGAGCUGGGUUCAGAACGUCGUGAGACAGUUCGGUCCCUAUCCUCCGCGGGCGCAGGAGAAUCGAGGGAGGCUGCCCCUAGUACGAGAGGACCGGGGUGGACGGACCUCCGGUGAACCGGUUGUCGACCAACGGCAUGGCCGGGUAGCCGCGUCCGGCGCGGAUAACCGCUGAAGGCAUCUAAGCGGGAAGCCGUUCCCGAGAUCAGUUCUCCUUCUGGUAAGGGCCCAGGUAGAACACCUGGUCGAUAGGCCGCAGGUGCAAGGUCGGCGACGGCCUCAGCCGAGCGGCACUAAUCGCCCGAGCUCUUACCCGCA